Molecule: long non-coding RNA, 5599 nt
Organism: Felis catus (domestic cat)
Lineage: Eukaryota; Metazoa; Chordata; Mammalia; Carnivora; Felidae
Exons: 3
Source: RefSeq, a predicted model, not a curated record
AUCGCCAGAGACGGCCACGGCUACUGUUGGGCUAAAUUUGCUCUUUGAGGCCCAUUGUGUUACCCAGUCGAGAUUAUACUGGGUCUAAUUUUACGAUUGCGUCUUGCUUUUUUCCUGCUGAGCUCAUGUUAUCUUAAGCAUUUUCUCACGUCAUAAAAAAUUCUUCGUACAAUUAUGUGAGAGGGAAAUGCAUAUUCUUGGCAACUGAUAGAAGAAUUCCUUUUGGGGAAACAUUGGCCAUUAUUGAGAAAAAAGCUCUGGGGGGGAGCAGGGGGCAUACUUUGUCAAUUGGUGCAGGGAGUUGAGGGAGGGAGUGCGUGAGGGCGAGAGGGAGCCGGGCUGCAUAGUCCGAGCCCCCUUGACGGGUCUUCUCAACGAGGGGACAUCACCCAAAUCACAUCAUGCCUGUGGGGAGUGGAAGCUGAAUGGGGCGGCCCUGGACAGGAAAGAAGCGCUCGGAAGGAAGGAAGCUCUUGGCAGUCUGCACAAUUAGUGGGAAAGAAUCGCGCUGUCACAAAGGGUGGAGAGGAGAAUCGAGGUGUGUUAAUCAGCUAUCUGAGAGACAAGGGGAGGGCCUCCUAGGGCCCGGAGCUGAUAUCGGGUUCACGUUCACAAACAGUCUUUUGAUGGUGGCCCGGUGUUCCGUUACAGGACACCAUCAUUUAAAUGACACUUUGAAUAACGUCGUGUUUGGAUUAAUUCCUCGGACACUGAAAGCACUACAGCUCGAAUGGUGCGAGCAUUUUAAAGGAAUCUGUUACAUCGCCACCUGGUUGCUUUCAAGAAUGUCUGCAAACAGGCAGCCGUGCGAGAGGCCCGUCUCUGUGCUCUCGCCAGAACUUACCUGCUAUUUAGGAAUUAUUCCACACGCCACUGCCUCCCGGAACCUUUUUUUUCUGCCCACGUAGAAAUCGUGUGUCUUAUGCACCUUGUAAUGGCUCACUUCCACCCCCUAAACGCAGUGACUGUAGUUAAUUUUAUAUGAUUGUUAUUAGCAGACAUGCCUCCCCUUGAACUAUACCGUAAGCAGUCUGAAGGUCCCCUCUGCCUUUCUUGCACUUGCUGUGCUGUGCCAUCAACAUUGCCGGGGAGCAGAGAAGCCCACAUUUCUUGAAAACAGUGGGCAGCUUUACGUCUCCUGACCCAGAUUCCUAAGAGGAUCAGGUUCUAGGGGGAGCUGCGAUUUAGUUUGGUGACUGCACCACUGAGAUGCUCCCUGGGGAAUUCUGGAGAGGACAGGGAAGGCUGCAAAUGGGUGAACAGUGCGCUGCUGUUCAGAAACAGGCAGGAGGCAGAGGAGGUGGGAGAGAGUCCAGCAUGGAGCGUAAACAGGAUGAUUUGCGAAGGGGAGGCUGUGAUCGCCAGGAGUCAGCAGGGGCUCGGUGAGAAAACUCGGGCUGACCUAGUUUCUCUGGCUGCCAGUGUUACGGUUGUGGCACACCAGAGAAAUGCAAAGAGGAGGGAGUCUCCAGGACCUGGUUCAAGUGCUGGCAGUGGUUCUUCCGACCCUCCCGAGACAAAGUGUAAAAAGGUGGGUCGGGUGACAAGCAGGACGAGGUGGUGAAUCCACAGCUGCCUGAAUAAAUCCGCCCACCGGCUUGCAGAGCUGCAGAUCGAUGGCUAGAUGUCAAUGCGCAGAGGGGUUGUCUUUUAAGAGGUGUUCCUCAGCACUCUCUUCUUGUGCCUGAAUGGGCCCGGAGUCUUGUCAGUGGCUUGAAGCCGGUGUGGAAGGAAGAGGAGAGCCAACCCCCUGUGAUUAUUGAGGGGAUGAAAUAAGGCGUGAGAAUCCUGUGGAAUAAUACCCGGCCUGUCUGAGCUGGUCAGUACUGGAGUAGUAGCAGGACUAAGGGGGAGAAGCUGUGAAGACAUAAAGUAAUUCAACUCUAUUUUUUUUCAAGAAAACUCUGUGAUGGAAUUGUCCAAACGUGGGGUAAGCUGCUUCUGGAUGUGGUGAAACCCACUUUCCUGGAGAAUUCCGAUCAUGAAUGGUGGCUGUCUGUAGACUUUGGGUAUCGAUGACCCUGUCAACUUUAAGAUUCUAUGUUCUGUCGUGCUGGGGCCAAGUCUUUGAGGAAGGAGCCGCUCUAUGUGUUCGGAAGAAAAAAGAACACUUAAGCUGUGGAGGGCUGAUCAUACUGGCCUAGCACCUGGGAGGAAACAAAGGUACUGUGAGGCCAGUUGGCUGGAGAGUUUCACAUUGAACUAAGGCUCACACUGGGGAGUCUCCUGGUUGCUCUCGAGGGCAGUGUCAUAGAUUAUUCAUGACAGUCCCCAGCACACAGUAGACACUCAACAAAUGCUAAUGGAGGCAGUCUAGAGGUGGCAAUAACCACAGUCAGCACUAACUUAAGUCCGUUUCAAACAUUUGCUAAUUGUAUUUGCUUUAAAAAAAAAAAAUGUAAUGUUUACUUUUGAGGGGAGGAGGGGCAGAAAGAGAAGGAGACAGAGGAUGCAAAGUGGGCUCUGCGCUGACAACAGAGAGCCUGACGCGAGGUUCAAACUCACGGACGGUGAGAUCAUGACCUGAGCCGAAGUCGGACGCUUAACCGACUGAGCCCCCCGGGCGCCCCUAAAUGUAAUUGCUUUAGCCAGAAAAUGUUCUCUCCACAGAAGAAGGCUAAAGGAAACGAAGGGAGCUGGGAGUGGGCGAUAGAGGUUGGAAUGGGGUUGGAGGGGAGGGUCAGGAGACCGAAUGUGCCGUCUUGUAGGAGGAGGGAGCAUGAAGGAAAGUGAACCCACUGCGAGAUGGGGAAGGCUUCCUUGCCCCAGCGUGGCCGCAGAGUGGGCCCGUAGGCAGCAGUUUCUGCUGGCUGGCCGCUCUAAUCUCUCCUUCCAUAGUAAUAACAAUGUGGGGAGACCAGAUUUCCCACCCUUUCUUGCAGCGAGAUGUGGUCGGAACCCUCUGAACGCGAGAGGAAGGGAUAGGCACGGUGCCUGAGUCUAAGCUUCUCCCGGGGUCUCUUUGCCUCCCACUGGCUAGAAGCAGACGGCCACAAGACCCCAGGGGAGAUGUGAGGCUCGAGACCCUGACUGAGCAUGCGCAAGAGACCCCUGCCCCAUUGGCUUGAAUACCUACUUCGAACUGGUACCCGAGCAAGACAUACACUUGUUGGGUUGAGUCAUUAUUUGGGGGGACCCGGUACAGAAGCUAAGACCAUCCUAAGUAACGCUUAGAAUUCCAAGAAGUAACCCCCCCCCCACACACACACACCCCGUGUAACUCACAAUGGGGAGGUCGUGGCCCCGGAAGUGAGUCAUCAGCCUCUGAUUGAGAUGACAGAGCUCCUCACCUGCCUCAGCGCCCCUGGCUGGGGGCUCUGCUUGUCACAGGGGGAAGUCCUCCUCCCUGUCAACAGCAUCUUCUGCCCCUCUAGGUCCGAGUCAACUUAUGGGAAGCGGGCCCUGGGCCACCAUGAUGAUUGAGGCAGUGCAGAAAAUGCCUAUCGUGGGAAUCUGCUACACCUCCUAGAGACACAGAGAAACCGGGGUCCCGGCCACUUCGUGGGGAACGCAUGGGGUACAUCAGCUGCGAAAGUGGGGCUCCCGUGCCCCGAGUGAUAGCUGCAGUGUGUCCCAAGCCGAUGGGCAACGAUACGUUCCGGGAAUUUGCUCAGACUUGCCAGAAUAUAGACUACGCUAGAGAGCAAGUGUUUGUGCGUUGUGUGUAGGAGGUUUGGGAUGGGACAGGGCUGGGAAAUUGGACGAGAAUAGGUCGUCAGAGAUGCAGAAACCAGAAAACGAAAACAAGUGAAGACGCUUUUUGAAGUGCAAAAUGAAGUUUUGAAGCCCAUGGCAGUAUCUUCCAGUAUAAGGUUUUUACUUGCACGAGGCAGGGUCAUUUAAACUGGAAGGGCCAAGGUCCCAACCUAAGCGAUUAACUUAAGAGAACACGUGUGUAUUUUGCUGGCCCAGACUACUUAAGACCCCCAAGCUUUGGGGAGUGGGAGAAAAGAAGUUGGAGAGAAGGAAUGGCAGGGUCUUUAAGAAGGGGGCCCUGCCACAAAGGAGUGGGUGUGACACACGCCUCCCCGUGUCGCGGGGGGGCUUGGGAGCCGAGACCAGAAAGGACCCUGCUGCUGUCUGUCUGGAGCCCUUAUGUAUGUCCCCUGCGCCAUCACGGCAGGGACAGGGGAACAGGUGUUAUGAUGUGGGGCAGGGGCAGAACCAGAGUGGCCCGGGAAAGCAGGGGAGCUUGGUGUUUGUGGGACUGAAGUUGAAACAGCCGAGAAAGGGAGCCGGUGAUCCCGAAGGCAUCGUGGUGGCAAUGAGGAGAUGCCCUGGCAGAGAGCACCUCGCUCAUGUGGCUGCAAACCAGGUGGGAAGGAGGAACCUGGACAGGGGGGCCUACCUUAGCUGCACGGGCUGCUUCAUGCUCACUGUGGACCUGCGGAAAGAGUCGUGCCAAGCCUGUGCGUGAGGCUGCUUUGCGUCAGAAAGCAGACACACAGUAGAAUUUCCUUAAAGACGAGCGAAAGUUACCCCCAAGGGGCCGGGUGCUUGGGCUUUAAUUCAUUUCUUGCAGCCCCUCUGGGCUCUCGCUUUUGAAUUCCUGUGCCUUGCGUCCUCCAUUAACACCUGUGGGCCUCCUCUUGGAGUCUGGCUGUGGUUUCCACCCUCGCGAGGAUCAGACGAUCCCCACUGCUGAGUCUGGCCGCUCCCUGAUGUGCAUUCACCCGUGCCCCACACCCUGGCAUCCCGUCCACACGGGCCCCUGUUGUCUGGCCUCAUUCUGCCUGGUUUUGGCUUCCUCGUGCCCACCUUGGUGCUGACAGCUUGAGGGCCUCCCACCCCACUCUGCAAUCUGAGACAGAAUAUUUUCUAAGAGGGGCUCUGGCCAAACAGUGACCCAGGAGAAAAGGGAACUGUGGGGAGGAGCUGAGUCGCGGUGACGGGGUAACAGGUUUCUCGGGCCACCCUGGCUUAUGCGCAGGAAUUGGAGAACAACAGUGGCCACGGUGUUUCUCUUAGUCUAUCCCAUCCACCGCAUGGGAACUCGGGCAGCCCUCUUAACCUCCCGGAUGAUGCCAAGAGACGCCAGCGGUCUCACGUCUCGUGCGCCAACAUCUACUCUUCUUGGACCAUGCCAUUUUCUUUCCUGUUUGUUCCGGCUGCCAGUGGUACCGUCCCCUCAUUGCUGGCGACCCCAGGAGCGCCAUCCGUGACCUUGAAAUCUACCAAGGGCCUACACUUGCUGGAGCGACCCAUACCCAGUUUGGACCCGUCGAAGAGAGUCCAGCCACCAUACUGUCUUUGCCGAGGGCACUGGUGACCGGGCUGAAGGGUAAUAGUGAGGUGCAUGCUGGCACCCUUGCUGGCAGUGGUGCUUAUUGUGGGUUGAAUGGUGGCUCCAAAGAUGUGCGGAGGUCCUAACCCCGGUACCUGUGAAUGUGACCUUAUGUGGAAAUAGGAUCUUUGCAAUUGUGACUGAGAUAUAACAUGACGGGGUGAUGCUGGAGAGGGGUCCUUACUCCAGUGUGACUGGUGUCCUUAUAAGAAGAGAGGAGACACAGACACUUGGGGGAGAACAUCACGUGAAAAUGGAGGUGGUUUCAGGGCACGUGGGUGGCUCGGUCGGUUAAGCGUCCGACUUCGGCUCAGG